This 300-nucleotide ribosomal RNA is filed under the name Triticum aestivum (bread wheat). RNAcentral's name for it is "partial small subunit ribosomal RNA". Lineage: Eukaryota; Viridiplantae; Streptophyta; Magnoliopsida; Poales; Poaceae. The record is from RNAcentral.
UUUUUGCAAACAUUAGGAAAAUACUACCUUGUAGAUGCUGGGUACACUAAUGGUCCGGGCUUCUUUGCUCCCUACCGGUCAGUCCGGUACCAUUUGAAAGAAUGGGUGGCUAAUGGAAAUAACCCACAAACUCCAAGAGAGUUAUAUAAUCUGCGACAUGCAUCAGCUAGGAAUGUGAUAGAGAGAACUUUUGGUCUACUAAAGAUGAGAUGGGCUAUUUUGAGGACUAGUUCAUUUUUUGGCAUACGGAAUCAGGUAUCACAUAGUAUUUUGCAAAACCAAGCCUCCGUUUAUUUUUAG